Molecule: ribosomal RNA, 363 nt
Filed under: uncultured bacterium
Lineage: Bacteria
Description: partial 16S ribosomal RNA
Rfam family: Bacterial small subunit ribosomal RNA
Source: RNAcentral
ACUACGGGAGGCAGCAGUGAGGAAUAUUGGUCAAUGGACGAGAGUCUGAACCAGCCAAGUAGCGUGAAGGAUGACUGCCCUAUGGGUUGUAAACUUCUUGUAUAUGGGAAUAAAACAGGGUAUGCAUACCCUCUUGUAUGUACCAUAUGAAUAAGGAUCGGCUAACUCCGUGCCAGCAGCCGCGGUAAUACGGAGGAUCCGAGCGUUAUCCGGAUUUAUUGGGUUUAAAGGGAGCGUAGGGGGAUUGGUAAGGCAGUUGGGUAAGUUUGCGGCGCAACCGUAAAAUUGCAGUUGAAACUGGCAGUCUUGAGUACAGUCGCGGUGGGCGUAUUUCGUGGUGUAGCGGUGACAUGCUUAGCUCUC